GUGGCUAUGGUGUAAUGGUAACACGUGGGGUUGUGGUCCCCUUGAUAUGGGUUCAAUUCCCGUUAGCCACC
RNAcentral lists this transfer RNA (71 nucleotides) under Candidatus Berkelbacteria bacterium. RNAcentral's name for it is "tRNA-His". It matches the Rfam family "tRNA". Rfam says of the family: Transfer RNA (tRNA) molecules are approximately 80 nucleotides in length. Their secondary structure includes four short double-helical elements and three loops (D, anti-codon, and T loops). Lineage: Bacteria; Candidatus Berkelbacteria. The record is from RNAcentral.